CCUACGGGGGGCAGCAGUGGGGGAUAUUGCACAAUGGGGGGAACCCUGAUGCAGCGACGCCGCGUGGGUGAAGAAGUAUUUCGGUAUGUAAAGCCCUAUCGGCAGGGAAGAAAUUGGACGGUACCUGACUAAGAAGCCCCGGCUAACUACGUGCCAGCAGCCGCGGUAAUACGUAGGGGGCAAGCGUUAUCCGGAUUCACUGGGUGUAAAGGGAGCGUAGACGGCCAUGCAAGCCUGGAGUGAAAGCCCGGGGCCCAACCCCGGGACUGCUCUGGGAACUGUGCGGCUGGAGUGCGGGAGGGGCG
Molecule: ribosomal RNA, 305 nt
Filed under: uncultured bacterium
Lineage: Bacteria
Description: bacterial SSU rRNA
Rfam family: Bacterial small subunit ribosomal RNA
Source: RNAcentral